GUGGGGAAUAUUGGACAAUGGGCGAAAGCCUGAUCCAGCCAUGCCGCGUGUGUGAAGAAGGUCUUCGGAUUGUAAAGCACUUUAAGUUGGGGGGAAGGGCAGUAAGUUAAUACCUUGCUGUUUUGACGUUACCGACAGAAUAAGCACCGGCUAACUUCGUGCCAGCAGCCGCGGUAAUACGAAGGGUGCAAGCGUUAAUCGGAAUUACUGGGCGUAAAGCGCGCGUAGGUGGUUUUGUAAGUUGGAAGUGAAAUCCCCGGGCUCAACCUGGGAACUGCCUCCAAAACUGCAUGACUAGAGUACGGUAGAGGGUAGUGGAAUUUCCUGUGUAGCGGUGAAAUGCGUAGAUAUAGGAAGGAACACCAGUGGCGAAGGCGACUACCUGGACUGAUACUGACACUGAGGUGCGAAAGCGUGGGGAGCAAACAGGAUUAGAAACCCGUGUAGUCC
RNAcentral lists this ribosomal RNA (450 nucleotides) under uncultured bacterium. Its description in RNAcentral is "partial 16S ribosomal RNA". It matches the Rfam family "Bacterial small subunit ribosomal RNA", at positions 354 to 796 of the family's 1533-position model. The record is from RNAcentral.